UACGAAGGUGGCAAGCGUUACUCGGAAUGACUAGGCGUAAAGGGCAGGUAGGUGGCCUCGUAAGUCUGCUGUGAAAGCUCCCGGCUUAACCGGGAGAGGUCAGCAGAAACUGUGGGGCUUGAGUAUGGGAGAGGUAACUGGAAUUCCCGGUGUAGCGGUGAAAUGCGCAGAGAUCGGGAGGAACACCAAUGGCGAAAGCAAGUUACUGGACCAUUACUGACACUCAGCUGCGAAAGCUAGGGGAGCAAACAGG
RNAcentral lists this unclassified non-coding RNA (253 nucleotides) under uncultured Elusimicrobia bacterium. RNAcentral's name for it is "contains 16S-23S intergenic spacer region". It matches the Rfam family "Bacterial small subunit ribosomal RNA", at positions 524 to 776 of the family's 1533-position model. Lineage: Bacteria; Pseudomonadati; Elusimicrobiota; Elusimicrobia. The record is from RNAcentral.